Non-coding RNA from Gongylonema pulchrum, 47 nucleotides. The record is from Rfam. Lineage: Eukaryota; Metazoa; Nematoda; Chromadorea; Rhabditida; Gongylonematidae.
CCAACGGCCCUCUUUAGGGCCACAGAUCUGUGAGUCAUGCUCUCUUU